UGGGGAAUAUUGGGCAAUGGGGGCAACCCUGACCCAGCCAUGCCGCGUGAGUGAUGAAGGCCUUCGGGUCGUAAAGCUCUGUGGGGAGGGACGAAACCUGGUUGGCUAAUAUCCAACCAAGCUGACGGUACCUCCUUAGCAAGCACCGGCUAACUCCGUGCCAGCAGCCGCGGUAAUACGGAGGGUGCAAACGUUGCUCGGAAUCAUUGGGCGUAAAGCGCACGUAGGCGGUCUGUCAAGUCGGGUGUGAAAGCCCUGGGCUCAACCCAGGAAGUGCAUUCGAAACUAGCAGACUCGAGUAUGGAAGAGGGUCGCGGAAUUCCCGGUGUAGAGGUGAAAUUCGUAGAUAUCGGGAGGAACACCAGUGGCGAAGGCGGCGACCUGGGCCAAUACUGACGCUGAGGUGCGAAAGCGUGGGGAGCAAACAGGAUUAGAUACCCCCGUAGUCC
RNAcentral lists this ribosomal RNA (449 nucleotides) under uncultured bacterium. RNAcentral describes it as "bacterial SSU rRNA". It matches the Rfam family "Bacterial small subunit ribosomal RNA", at positions 355 to 796 of the family's 1533-position model. The record is from RNAcentral.